This 253-nucleotide ribosomal RNA is filed under the name uncultured bacterium. RNAcentral describes it as "partial 16S ribosomal RNA". It matches the Rfam family "Bacterial small subunit ribosomal RNA", at positions 524 to 776 of the family's 1533-position model. The record is from RNAcentral.
UACGGAGGGUGCAAGCGUUACCCGGAAUCACUGGGCGUAAAGGGCGUGUAGGCGGCCUUUCAAGUCCGGCUUUAAAGACCGAGGCUCAACCUCGGGAGUGGGCUGGAUACUGGAUGGCUUGACGACUGGAGGGGCGGGUGGAAUUCUCGGUGUAGCGGUGGAAUGCGUAGAUACCGAGAGGAACACCAGUGGCGAAGGCGGCCCGCUGGACAGUGCGUGACGCUGAGGCGCGAAAGUGUGGGGAGCGAACCGG